GCCCAAGUGGUGGAAUGGUAGACACGCAAGCUUGAGGGGCUUGUGGGAGCAAUCCUGUGCUGGUUCAAGUCCAGUCUUGGGCA
RNAcentral lists this transfer RNA (83 nucleotides) under Spirochaetota bacterium. It matches the Rfam family "tRNA". From Rfam's summary of the family: Transfer RNA (tRNA) molecules are approximately 80 nucleotides in length. Their secondary structure includes four short double-helical elements and three loops (D, anti-codon, and T loops). The record is from Rfam by way of RNAcentral. Lineage: Bacteria; Pseudomonadati; Spirochaetota.